CCCCAGCACCCCAAACAAAACAAAACCAAAGUGAUUUAUUGGGGUCCUUCCUAAAUCAUGGAAUUUUAUGUGACAAUCCUCCAAGCCACUAGAGUCUACUACUUCAAGCACUGAAAUCUUUCACCUUUUUUUUUUUUAAUAGUACUAGGGAUCAAACCCAGGGAGCCCUACCAAUGAGCUAUAUUUCCAGACCUCUUUAUUUUUUAUUUUGAGACAAGGUCUUUCCUAAGUUGCUGAGGCUGGCCUUGAACUUGCAAUUUUCCUCCCUUACUUUCCUGGCACCAUUAGGCUACACCUUUUUUUUCCCCCCUAGUACUGAGGAUUGAACCCAGGGUUUGGUGCAUGCUAGGCAAGCACUCUGCCACUAAGCUAAAUCCCCAGCCCCACCUUUUACUUUUUUACACGACUUUGACAGAAGCCUUUCAAAAAGUCUUGCUUUGUAAACUGCAUUCUACCCAGCUGCACUUUCAAUAUGGUUGGCCCAACAAGUCCUAGUGCUAUGUAGAAAGUACCUGAACUGACAGGUUUGGGCUUGAGAUCCAGUCCCACCACUAUUCACAGUGUUUCAAACCUUUGUGGGUCAUAGUUUCCUUAAUCCCAAAACCAGGGAUGACAAACAGUAUUUGACAGGGAUGUUCUCAGGAUGAGCUAGGAAUGAUGAUUCCAGUUUAGUGAGUGCUUACAAUAUAGACACUGUCCUAAGCAUUGCAUGUAUAAACUCCUUUCAUGAGAGAAUGUAAUCAUUUAGCAUGUGGCUGGGACAUAGCACAUGCUCAAUAAAUACUGGUUGCUAA
Molecule: long non-coding RNA, 794 nt
Filed under: Marmota monax (woodchuck)
Lineage: Eukaryota; Metazoa; Chordata; Mammalia; Rodentia; Sciuridae
Source: RNAcentral